GGCGACCGGCGCACGGGUGAGUAACGCGUAUGCAACCCAUUUAUCAGAGGGGAAUAACCCGGCGAAAGUCGGACUAAUACCGCAUAAAACAGGGACACCGCAUGGUGAUAUUUGUUAAAGAAAUUCGCUGAUAGAUGGGCAUGCGUUCCAUUAGGUAGUUGGUGAGGUAACGGCUCACCAAGCCGACGAUGGAUAGGGGAACUGAGAGGUUGGUCCCCCACACCGGUACUGAGACACGGACCAGACUCCUACGGGAGGCAGCAGUGAGGAAUAUUGGUCAAUGGGCGAGAGCCUGCGCCAGCCAAGUCGCGUGAAGGAAGAAGGAUCUAUGGUUCGUAAACUUCUUUUGCAGGGGAAUAAAGUGCAGGACGUGUCCUGUUUUGUAUGUACCCUGAGAAUAAGGAUCGGCUAACUCCGUGCCAGCAGCCGCGGUAAUACGGAGGAUCCGAGCGUUAUCCGGAUUUAUUGGGUUUAAAGGGUGCGUAGGUGGUUUGAUAAGUCAGCGGUGAAAGUUUGCAGCUUAACUGUAAAAAUGCCGUUGAAACUGUCGGACUUGAGUGUAAAUGAGGUAGGCGGAAUGCGUGGUGUAGCGGUGAAAUGCUUAGAUAUCACGAAGAACUCCGAUUG
This 627-nucleotide ribosomal RNA is filed under the name uncultured Bacteroidales bacterium. RNAcentral's name for it is "bacterial SSU rRNA". It matches the Rfam family "Bacterial small subunit ribosomal RNA", at positions 90 to 715 of the family's 1533-position model. The record is from RNAcentral. Lineage: Bacteria; Pseudomonadati; Bacteroidota; Bacteroidia; Bacteroidales.